GCGCCCGUAGCUCAGUGGUAGAGCAUCCGACUUUUAAUCGGCAGGUCGAAGGUUCAAAUCCUUCCGGGCGUACCA
RNAcentral lists this transfer RNA (75 nucleotides) under Hyphomicrobiaceae bacterium. Its description in RNAcentral is "tRNA-Lys". It matches the Rfam family "tRNA". Rfam says of the family: Transfer RNA (tRNA) molecules are approximately 80 nucleotides in length. The record is from RNAcentral. Lineage: Bacteria; Pseudomonadati; Pseudomonadota; Alphaproteobacteria; Hyphomicrobiales; Hyphomicrobiaceae.